UCUCCCUUAAACUUCUUCCACACUCAGUACGUGGGAACAGCAGAGCACUUAUCCCCAUGGGCUUUGGAAGCUGCAGGAAAUCUGUGGGGCGGAUAAGGAUUCAACCCGGGGAAGGUGACCCGACCUGCUGCUGAACCAACACAAGCUUUUGAUUGCAAAAACUGAGUCCUGGCUCCUGGCUUCAGAUUGGCUCAGCCCUGACUGUUGCGGCCGCUUGGGGAGUGAAUCAGCGGACAGAAGAUCUUUCUCUCUGUCUCUCCUCCUCUUUAUAUAUCUGACUUUGGAAGAAAAAUAAAUAAAUCUUAAGAAGAAGCAGAAGAAGUGUGCUCCCGUGUUGGAUCUCAGUACUGUUUCUCCUGCAGCCCAGGGCUGCUGGGUUUCCUGCUUCUGCAAAGGGCCAGUUGCCGGCUGCAGUGGUUUGCGUUCAUGUUUAUGUGCUUCGCACAGUACUGAUGAGAAUUGCUUGCUGAAAGGUGCUGGAGGCUGGACAUUAGGCUGGAAGCCCUGGGCAUCUUAAAUCGGCACACUGCUUCACCUUCCCCAGCACUUCAUCAUCGUUCCACAUUGCCACUGCAGAGCCACAGCAGCAUCAUAGGGUUCCUCGCAUGGCCAGGACUCCAGAGGUGUCGAACUGCAGAGUUACUCAU
Molecule: long non-coding RNA, 647 nt
Organism: Ochotona princeps (American pika)
Lineage: Eukaryota; Metazoa; Chordata; Mammalia; Lagomorpha; Ochotonidae
Exons: 4
Source: RefSeq, a predicted model, not a curated record